This 708-nucleotide ribosomal RNA is filed under the name Brevibacterium sp. Its description in RNAcentral is "bacterial SSU rRNA". It matches the Rfam family "Bacterial small subunit ribosomal RNA", at positions 801 to 1504 of the family's 1533-position model. The record is from RNAcentral. Lineage: Bacteria; Bacillati; Actinomycetota; Actinomycetes; Micrococcales; Brevibacteriaceae.
GCGUACGUUGGGCCUAGGUGUGGGGGACAUUCCACGUUCUCCGCGCCGUAGCUAACGCAUUAAGUGCCCCGCCUGGGGAGUACGGUCGCAAGGCUAAAACUCAAAGGAAUUGACGGGGGCCCGCACAAGCGGCGGAGCAUGCGGAUUAAUUCGAUGCAACGCGAAGAACCUUACCAAGGCUUGACAUACACUGGACCGUUCUGGAAACAGUUCUUCUCUUUGGAGCUGGUGUACAGGUGGUGCAUGGUUGUCGUCAGCUCGUGUCGUGAGAUGUUGGGUUAAGUCCCGCAACGAGCGCAACCCUCGUUCUAUGUUGCCAGCACGUGAUGGUGGGAACUCAUAGGAGACUGCCGGGGUCAACUCGGAGGAAGGUGGGGAUGACGUCAAAUCAUCAUGCCCUUUAUGUCUCGGGCUUCACGCAUGCUACAAUGGCUGGUACAGAGAGAGGCGAACCCGUGAGGGUAAGCGAAUCCCUUAAAGCCAGUCUCAGUUCGGAUCGUAGUCUGCAAUUCGACUACGUGAAGUCGGAGUCGCUAGUAAUCGCAGAUCAGCAACGCUGCGGUGAAUACGUUCCCGGGCCUUGUACACACCGCCCGUCAAGUCACGAAAGUCGGUAACACCCGAAGCCGGUGUCCCAACCCACUUGUGGGAGGGGGCCGUCUAAGGUGGGACUGGUGAUUGGGACUAAGUCGUACCAGGGGUGCAAGG